GACGUAGGGGGCCAGCGUUGUUCGGAAUUACUGGGUGUAAAGGGUUCGUAGGCGGUGCGGCAAGUUGGGAGUGAAAUCUCUGGGCUUAACCCAGAGGCUGCUUCCGAAACUGCUGUGCUUGAGUGUGGGAGAGGCGCGUGGAAUUGCAGGUGUAGCGGCGAAAUGCGUAGAUAUCUGCAGGAACACCCGUGGCGAAAGCGGCGCGCUGGACCACUACUGACGCUGAGGAACGAAAGCUAGGGGAGCAAACAGG
This 253-nucleotide ribosomal RNA is filed under the name uncultured bacterium. RNAcentral describes it as "partial 16S ribosomal RNA". It matches the Rfam family "Bacterial small subunit ribosomal RNA", at positions 524 to 776 of the family's 1533-position model. The record is from RNAcentral.